Molecule: long non-coding RNA, 789 nt
Organism: Poecilia latipinna (sailfin molly)
Lineage: Eukaryota; Metazoa; Chordata; Actinopteri; Cyprinodontiformes; Poeciliidae
Exons: 3
Source: RefSeq, a predicted model, not a curated record
CUCCUCAAGCUGCAACUUAGCAAUAACAGAAUUGUCCCAACAUCCAUGACAGAAUUGUUUGAUUGAAUUUGUGUCUUUGUCUUGUCUUAAUAUUCUUCCUCUUUUUACUGCUGUGCAAAGGGUAAGUUGUAAUAGCUGCAGAUAGGCUGAUGGCUGCUCUCCAGGAUUCCACAGAAUGUUUAAAAAAUGAGCAAGAAACCUGUGAGUCCUGUACGUCUGAAAAGCUUAAUCCAGGAUUUGUAGAUGACUGCAUCAGAGUCCAAACGUUUAAUCAAGUCAGCAGCUGGUGGUGCAAAGGCGUUUCAAAGCUGUUCAUAUAUCCGGUUUGGAGCUUCAGUACAUGGGUCAGCAGACAAUGGGUCACUAUCCAGUCCAUUUUCACAUGAAUGGAGAUGUGGAUGAGAAAGGAGGCUACAGCCCCCCAACAUUUGUCAGUGAUCUAUCCAUUCAUCACUCUUUCUCACGCUGUGUUACAAUCCAUGGCUCCAAUGGACUUCUGGUAAAAGAUGUGGUGGGCUAUGAAACACUGGGUCACUGUUUCUUUACAGAAGAUGGUCCAGAGGAGAGAAACACAUUUUAUCACUGCCUAGGUCUGAUGAUAAGAGCAGGAACUCUCUUGCCGUCAGACAGAGACAGCAAAAUGUGUCGUGCUAUUACUGAUGGAGCAUACCCAGGAUAUGUGGCAAAUCCACGGCAAGACUGCAGGUAGUGCUAUUGAUAAACUCUAAGCAAUUUGCUCCUGAUCAGUACUAUUACAGUGUUUCCCAACCCUGGUCCUCAAGGCACACU